Molecule: non-coding RNA, 1266 nt
Organism: Durio zibethinus
Lineage: Eukaryota; Viridiplantae; Streptophyta; Magnoliopsida; Malvales; Malvaceae
Source: RefSeq, a predicted model, not a curated record
AGUCUGGUAAGCAAGGUUUAAUUCUUUUUUUUUUUAAUUUUUAAUUUUUUAGCUUUCUCAAUUGAAUUACGAAUUUGAAAGAUGGGUUUUUUCCCUGAUGAAGUUAUUCUACAAAUUCUUGCAAGAUUGCCUGUAAAGUCCCUCUUUAAGACAAAAACUGUUUGCAAGCUUUGGUAUAGAUUAGCAUCAGACAAGUAUUUUAUAAGACUUUAUAAUGAGGUGUCUGCUAAGAAGUCAAUGGUCCUUGUUGAGAUUUCUGAUUCAAUAGAAUCAAAAUCAAGCUUGAUUUGUGUUGAUAAUUUGAGGGGUGUCUCUGAAUUUUCAUUGGAUUUCUUGAGAGAUAGAGUCAAGGUUAGAGCUUCUUGUAAUGGCUUGUUGUGUUGCUCUAGCAUUCCUGAGAAGGGUGUUUACUACGUUUGUAACCCUAUGACUGGAGAGUUUAAGUUGCUCCCUAAGAGUAGAGAGAGGCCUGUCACGCGGUUUUAUCCGGAUGGUGAAGCCACGCUUGUUGGUUUAGCAUGCGAUUUAUCAAGGAAUAAGUUUAAUGUUGUCUUAGCAGGUUAUCAUCGUACCUUUGGUCAUAGACCUGAUGGGACUUUCAUAUGUUUGAUAUUUGAUUCGGAUUCUAAUAAGUGGAGGAAGUUUGUUUCAUUUCAAGAAGAUAAUUUCACCCAUAUGAACAAGAAUCAAGUUGUGUUUGUUAACGGUGCCCUUCAUUGGUUGACUGGUAGUUAUUCCUAUAUACUUGCACUUGAUUUAGAUUAUGAGAUUUGGAGGAAGAUUUCAUUGCCUGAUGAAGUGAGUUAUGGGACUGGGAAUAGAGUUUAUUUGUUGGAAUCCAGUGGGUGUUUAUCUUUGAUUCAGAUUUCUGAUGCGUGGAUGAAGAUUUGGGUGAUGAAAGACUAUGAGAGGGAACUCUGGCAUAUGGUGGAUAGGAUGAGUCUUAGAUGCAUUAGGGGACUAGUACCAGGCAUUUUCCCUAUCACUCAAACCGGUGAAUAUGUCUUUUUGGCAACUCACAAGCAGGUUUUAGUAUACCAUCGGAGGAGUAGAGUGUGGAAGGAGAUGUACUCUGUGAAGAACAGUGCUACCCUCCCAUUAUGGUUCUCAGCACAUGCAUUUCGGAGCACAAUCUUCCCUUGUGGUUAAGGAAACAAUUGCCUUCUAAUAAAUUGAUGAAUUUUUGUGGAAGCCUGGUUGGUGCUGUUUUGAAAAUUGUCAGGUAGUUGUCUUCAUCAAAUUUUUGUGCGGUGAAAUGUUUUGUAU